UACCAGCACCCCGAGUGGUCGGGACGAUUAUUGGGCCUAAAGCAUCCGUAGCCGGUCCUGCAAGUCUUCCGUUAAAUCCAGCUGCUCAACAGAUGGGCUGCGGGGGAUACUACAGGGCUAGGAGGCGGGAGAGGCAAGCGGUACUUUAUGGGUAGGGGUAAAAUCCGUUGAUCCAUAGAAGACCACCAGUGGCGAAGGCGGCUUGCCAGGACGCGCUCGACGGUGAGGGAUGAAAGCUGGGGGAGCAAACCGG
Molecule: ribosomal RNA, 253 nt
Filed under: uncultured bacterium
Lineage: Bacteria
Description: partial 16S ribosomal RNA
Rfam family: Archaeal small subunit ribosomal RNA
Source: RNAcentral